This 524-nucleotide ribosomal RNA is filed under the name Alytes dickhilleni (southern midwife toad). Its description in RNAcentral is "partial 12S ribosomal RNA". It matches the Rfam family "Bacterial small subunit ribosomal RNA", at positions 768 to 1525 of the family's 1533-position model. The record is from RNAcentral. Lineage: Eukaryota; Metazoa; Chordata; Amphibia; Anura; Alytidae.
CAAACUGGGAUUAGAUACCCCACUAUGCCUAGCCUUAAACAUUGACAACUUACACUAUUUCAUCCGCCCGGGUACUACGAGCCGCAGCUUAAAACCCAAAGGACUUGGCGGUGCCCCAAACCCACCUAGAGGAGCCUGUUCUAUAAUCGAUACCCCCCGCUUAACCUCACCACCCCUCGCCAGCAGCCUAUAUACCACCGUCGCCAGCCCACCUCGUGAGAGGAAACAAGUAGGCAUAAUGGUAACCACCAAAACGUCAGGUCAAGGUGUAGCCUAUGGGGCGGAAAGCAAUGGGCUACACUUUCUACACAGAAAACUACGGAGGACUAUUAUGAAACCCAGUCUGAAGGCGGAUUUAGUAGUAAAAAGAUUCAAGAGUGUUCUUUUUAAUCUGGCCCUGGGGCGCGCACACACCGCCCGUCACCCUCCUCAACUAACUCAACCCCAUAAUUAAAAACUACCCAGUUAACAAGAAGAGGCAAGUCGUAACAUGGUAAGUAUACCGGAAGGUGUGCUUGGAACAA